CCCUUAGACGUCCUGGGCCGCACGCGUGCUACACUGAUGCAUACAGCGAGUACUCCCAGCUCCGAGAGGCUGCUGGUAAUCAGCAAUAUGCAUCGUGAUGGGGAUAGAUCUUUGGAAUUAUAGAUCUUGAACGAGGAAUUCCUAGUAAUCGCAGGUCAUCACCCUGCGUUGACUAAGUCCCUGCCCUUUGUACACACCGCCCGUCGCUCCUACCGAUUUCGAGUGAUCCGGUGAAUCAUUCGGACCGCGGCCCCUAGGCAUGCGGAAAGUCUAGUAAACCAUAUCACUUAGAGGAAGGAGAAGUCGUAACA
This 311-nucleotide ribosomal RNA is filed under the name uncultured eukaryote. RNAcentral describes it as "partial 18S ribosomal RNA". It matches the Rfam family "Eukaryotic small subunit ribosomal RNA", at positions 1470 to 1796 of the family's 1831-position model. The record is from RNAcentral.